UAUGGGGUCACUUUGGGGUCACUUUGGGGUCUCUAUGGGGUCUCUCUGGUCCGUCCCUGCAGUCCCUGGCAGCGGUGGCUCGCGCCCCACGGGAGGAGCUGUCACUGUGCCCAGGGAUCGGACCCCAGAAGGCCAAGCGUCUCUACGAAGCCCUGCACGAACCCUUCCUGAAAGCACCCAAAAACCCCAAAUCUUCGCUUUUAUCCUAAAAAAACGACGACCCCAUAAACACAGCAACUGCA
Molecule: non-coding RNA, 242 nt
Organism: Phasianus colchicus (ring-necked pheasant)
Lineage: Eukaryota; Metazoa; Chordata; Aves; Galliformes; Phasianidae
Source: RefSeq, a predicted model, not a curated record